GCCCAUACUCCAGGAUGAUGUUUCCGCCUCUGUUUUAUGGCUUUCCACAAUCCUCUUACCUUCUCAACUCGCCAAUAAGCUUUCCUUGCUGGCCUCCAGCCUUGGAUCAAUCAGCAACUUGCUUGCUCAGCCCGUACAAAUGAGCUAUUGAGUAGCUUGGAGAGGUUUCCAACUGGGCCAUCCUGAAGCUAUAGUCACCAGAGGGAGCUGGUUGUUAAAUAUUUACCAGGAUACCAUUGCUGGGACCUAUGGAGCUACUCUUCUGCUAUCAGAACUGCCCCUGAGAGCAGGGGAGGACACAACAUGGGCAUGAAGUACUUGAACGUUACCAGUACUUUGCUACAGGAAGGAAGCCGUCACCCCUGGAUCGCGUGCUACCGUCAGGAAGAUGGGUUAGGGAGUGCCGAGCAUAAAGAAACAGCCAAGAAGAUGCAAAACCAAGAGGUAAAGAUGCCAGCAGCCUGUCAACCAUUGCUGCAGUUACGGACACCUGGAAAAAUUGAGGCUUGUGCUCACCAUCCGAGCAUCUCUGGAAAAUGA
This 540-nucleotide long non-coding RNA is filed under the name Canis lupus familiaris (dog). RNAcentral describes it as "lncRNA (ENSCAFG00000059203.1)". The record is from RNAcentral. Lineage: Eukaryota; Metazoa; Chordata; Mammalia; Carnivora; Canidae.